Molecule: ribosomal RNA, 788 nt
Filed under: uncultured bacterium
Lineage: Bacteria
Description: bacterial SSU rRNA
Rfam family: Bacterial small subunit ribosomal RNA
Source: RNAcentral
GACGAACGCUGGCGGCGUGCCUAAUACAUGCAAGUCGAGCGAGCUUGCCUAGAUGAUUUUAGUGCUUGCACUAAAUGAAACUAGAUACAAGCGAGCGGCGGACGGGUGAGUAACACGUGGGUAACCUGCCCAAGAGGCUGGGAUAACACCUGGAAACAGAUGCUAAUACCGGAUAACAACACUAGACGCAUGUCUAGAGUUUGAAAGAUGGUUCUGCUAUCACUCUUGGAUGGACCUGCGGUACAUUAGCUAGUUGGUAAGGUAACGGCUUACCAAGGCAAUGAUGCAUAGCCGAGUUGAGAGACUGAUCGGCCACAUUGGGACUGAGACACGGCCCAAACUCCUACGGGAGGCAGCAGUAGGGAAUCUUCCACAAUGGACGAAAGUCUGAUGGAGCAACGCCGCGUGAGUGAAGAAGGGUUUCGGCUCGUAAAGCUCUGUUGGUAGUGAAGAAAGAUAGAGGUAGUAACUGGCCUUUAUUUGACGGUAAUUACUUAGAAAGUCACGGCUAACUACGUGCCAGCAGCCGCGGUAAUACGUAGGUGGCAAGCGUUGUCCGGAUUUAUUGGGCGUAAAGCGAGUGCAGGCGGUUCAAUAAGUCUGAUGUGAAAGCCUUCGGCUCAACCGGAGAAUUGCAUCAGAAACUGUUGAACUUGAGUGCAGAAGAGGAGAGUGGAACUCCAUGUGUAGCGGUGGAAUGCGUAGAUAUAUGGAAGAACACCAGUGGCGAAGGCGGCUCUCUGGUCUGCAACUGACGCUGAGGCUCGAAAGCAUGGGUAGCGAACAGG